RNAcentral lists this ribosomal RNA (486 nucleotides) under uncultured bacterium. Its description in RNAcentral is "partial 16S ribosomal RNA". It matches the Rfam family "Bacterial small subunit ribosomal RNA", at positions 30 to 507 of the family's 1533-position model. The record is from RNAcentral.
AUUGAACGCUGGCGGCAUGCCUUACACAUGCAAGUCGAACGGCAGCACGGGUGCUUGCCCCUGGUGGCGAGUGGCGAACGGGUGAGUAAUACAUCGGAACAUGUCCUGUAGUGGGGGAUAGCCCGGCGAAAGCCGGAUUAAUACCGCAUACGAUCUACGGAUGAAAGCGGGGGAUCUUCGGACCUCGCGCUAUCGGGUUGGCCGAUGGCUGAUUAGCUAGUUGGUGGGGUAAAGGCCUACCAAGGCGACGAUCAGUAGCUGGUCUGAGAGGACGACCAGCCACACUGGGACUGAGACACGGCCCAGACUCCUACGGGAGGCAGCAGUGGGGAAUUUUGGACAAUGGGCGAAAGCCUGAUCCAGCAAUGCCGCGUGUGUGAAGAAGGCCUUCGGGUUGUAAAGCACUUUUGUCCGGAAAGAAAUCCUUGGCUCUAAUACAGUCGGGGGAUGACGGUACCGGAAGAAUAAGCACCGGCUAACUACGUG